This 418-nucleotide RNase P RNA is filed under the name Actinomycetota bacterium. RNAcentral's name for it is "RNase P RNA component class A". It matches the Rfam family "Bacterial RNase P class A". From Rfam's summary of the family: Ribonuclease P (RNase P) is a ubiquitous endoribonuclease, found in archaea, bacteria and eukarya as well as chloroplasts and mitochondria. Its best characterised activity is the generation of mature 5'-ends of tRNAs by cleaving the 5'-leader elements of precursor-tRNAs. Lineage: Bacteria; Bacillati; Actinomycetota. The record is from RNAcentral.
CGAGUCGGCCGGGCGGUCGCGUCAGCACGUCGGGGAACCGGUGUACUGCCGAGGAACGUCCGGGCUCCACAGGGCAGGGUGGUGGGUAACGCCCACCCGGGGUGACCCGCGGGACAGUGCCACAGAAAACAGACCGCCACCGGGACCGGUCGCGAGACCGGGACCGGCGGUAAGGGUGAAACGGUGCGGUAAGAGCGCACCAGCGCCCCGGGUGACCGGGGCGGCUCGGUAAACCCCACCCGGAGCAAGGUCAAAAGGCGGCUCCGGCCGCUGCGCAGGCGUUCGAGGGCGGCCCGCCCGAGCCUGCGGGUAGACCGCUGGAGGCCGUCGGCAACGGCGGCCCUAGAUGGAUGACCGUCGCCGGCGGCGUCGAUAGGCGCCGUCGGAACAGAACCCGGCGUACAGGCCGACUCGUCCG